CCUACGGGAGGCAGCAGUGAGGAAUAUUGGUCAAUGGGCGCGAGCCUGAACCAGCCAAGUAGCGUGAAGGAUGACUGCCCUACGGGUUGUAAACUUCUUUUAUCAAGGAAUAAAGUGAGCCACGCGUGCCGUUUUGUAUGUACCUUAUGAAUAAGCAUCGGCUAACUCCGUGCCAGCAGCCGCGGUAAUACGGAGGAUCCGAGCGUUAUCCGGAUUUAUUGGGUUUAAAGGGAGCGUAGAUGGGUUGUAAAGUCAGUUGUGAAAGUCUGGGUCUCAACCGUAAGAUUGCAGUUGAUACUGGCAGUCUUGAGUACAGUAGAGGUACGCGGAAUUCGUGGUGUAGCGGUGAAAUGCAUAGAUAUCACGAAGAACUCCGAUUGCGAAGGCAGCGUACUAAACUGCCACUGACAUUGAUGCUCGAAAGUGUGGGUAUCAAACAGGAUUAGAUACCCCUGUAGUC
This 460-nucleotide ribosomal RNA is filed under the name uncultured bacterium. Its description in RNAcentral is "partial 16S ribosomal RNA". It matches the Rfam family "Bacterial small subunit ribosomal RNA", at positions 338 to 795 of the family's 1533-position model. The record is from RNAcentral.